This 570-nucleotide long non-coding RNA is filed under the name Eucalyptus grandis. Its description in RNAcentral is "long non-coding RNA (EGRA_LNC004427)". The record is from RNAcentral. Lineage: Eukaryota; Viridiplantae; Streptophyta; Magnoliopsida; Myrtales; Myrtaceae.
UGCUCAAGAGAUCAAUCAGGUGCUGCUUCCCAAAUUAACAUAAUAGAAGGGGGAAUAGGCCCAAAUCAUUGUCUAUCUGGUUCAAAGUAUUUUUUUGUUCAAGACAGACAAGGGACACAGACAGGCAGAAACACUACAACUACGACGACUUACAAGGUACAUCGAACAAGUGGACUUCUGAAGGCCACUGAUAGACAACAGUACAACAACCAGGAAGAAGAUCAAAGCCAUCGAGCAGCAACUAAGCAUCUUGAACCUUCCGCUUCAGCUCCUCAUUCUCCUUUGUCAGAUGCUCGACUUUGGAUUGAAGAACAUUAGCCAUCGACCGGAUGCUCAACAUUUCAAGCCUUGAUCAUCUUGCAAGAUCAUAAAAUGGUCUUCUCUUUUGACCAGCAGCUCGGAAGGAAAUGUCGUUCGCAUGUCAUUUUCACACAUAAAAACCACUUCUUCUUUUUCUAUUAAAUUGUCUUGGACUCAAUCGUCCAAUCAUUGAGCUAAUCGUGACUGCAUGAAACAAGCAUGAACCACCAAAUUUCGUGUAAGCCUACCCUUUCAGUAUCCCCAGCACGA